GCGACCCCAGGUCAGGCGGGAUCACCCGCUGAGUUUAAGCAUAUCAAUAAGCGGAGGAGAAGAAACUUACAAGGAUUCCCCUAGUAACGGCGAGCGAA
This 98-nucleotide ribosomal RNA is filed under the name Streptocarpus bolusii. Its description in RNAcentral is "partial 28S ribosomal RNA". It matches the Rfam family "Eukaryotic large subunit ribosomal RNA", at positions 1 to 97 of the family's 3401-position model. The record is from RNAcentral. Lineage: Eukaryota; Viridiplantae; Streptophyta; Magnoliopsida; Lamiales; Gesneriaceae.